GCAAAGUGUAAAGUGCAGCUUUAAUCUUAUAUUAGAAUAAUUUUAUAUUUAUUAAACAAUUAAAAAAUUUCAAUAAUUUAAUUAUUAUUUAAUUUCCUUAUUUGUAAAUAAACGAAUUAAAUUAAAUUUACAAGACUACAAAAUGUACUAUAUAAAAAUAAUUUCGUUGUUUUGUUUUAUAUUUUAUGUCUGGAGUCAGGAGCAGAGAAAAUUAAUAUUUCCAACAAGAAACGAUGCUCAAAUUUUAUGUUAUCCACGGAAUAUGACUGUUAAGAAAAUACAGGCACUGGGAGGAACUUAUUGGAAAUGUUGGUUUCCUGGAAUCUACGAAGAAGAAAAUUUAAACUCAAAACUAUAAAUAAAAACAAAUCUCAGACAAUAAAUUAUGAUUAUUCUGUUUAAUUCCAGGCAUUCUAAUUCUAACUCAUUACAUCAAUUAUAUGAAAGGCAUUUCCAGUUAAAAGGAAGAUGAAGAAGGAUGAAAAUUACCAAAAAUGGAAAGUGUCAGAGACAGAUAUAUAUCAAAAUAAAAAAAAAAAUAAAAAAAAAACAGUGAUACAUCUAAAAAUUUAGACUGAAAGUGCAAUAGGCAUAACUAAAGAAAUUAAAGAGAGGGAGAAAACGUCACUUUAUAAUUCGGUGUACAUUACAACUUAGGGCAGACUUUUAAUUGGUUUAAUUAAACCUAGUUAAAUCCUAAAUUUUUAUAGGUACGGGGCAUAAAUCGCUCUACUAUAGGUGGACUUACUAAUAUAUCUGUCCGUGUAUAAAAUGGAAGCACACAUCACAGCAUUGGAACGCUUAACCUCAUCAUCGCCACAAGAUAAACAUCUUACAACCAAACUCUGGAAACAUCCUGAAUCAACUGGCUUAACUUUCCUAUGAUUUCUAGAUAAGUGUGAGCGUGUUUGCAUUAAUAGGUGUCUAACGCACACGAUGAAGAGAAACUGCUUUGUGGCUUUGUAUGUUCACCGAAACAAUAGACACCGAGAGGUCACGAGGGGUAUGUUUAUGACACCCGUUAGAUAAACAGGCUUUGAUAUACUCCCGAAAUAAUCUCCCAUUAAUCUACAUAUAAGUAUAUAUAAUAUGAUCUGGUCAGCUAGAUCGCAAUGUCUUUUCGUUGAUCGACUAAAUUUUAUAAAUAUAAAAUUUAAAAAAAUGAAUAAAGCUUUUAUAAAUUAUAACAUUAAAAAUUGUAUAUAAAAUUUAAGAAGGUAUCUCUGUUACAAAUUCGGUUAGUCAGUUAAUCUAUAAUAAAUGCAUUGACUUAACUAUA
Long non-coding RNA from Leptopilina boulardi, 1279 nucleotides. RefSeq lists it as uncharacterized. The transcript has 3 exons. NCBI's taxonomy places the organism in Eukaryota, Metazoa, Arthropoda, Insecta, Hymenoptera, Figitidae. The record is from RefSeq and is a predicted model, not a curated record.